This 476-nucleotide long non-coding RNA is filed under the name Mustela putorius furo (domestic ferret). Its description in RNAcentral is "lncRNA (ENSMPUG00000026135.1)". The record is from RNAcentral. Lineage: Eukaryota; Metazoa; Chordata; Mammalia; Carnivora; Mustelidae.
GUCCUGUGAGAUGAGGCAAUGACUGUUGAUUUUGCAUUUCACAGAUUUAAAUGUUCAAAGUACUAGCUAAUGGCUUCAAGCUCUCCUAAAGAAGUUCCCUUCCUCAGCUAAAAGAAAAGGUCCCGCUGAGUUUGAGAUGAGGACUUGCAUUCUGGAAAAGGUGGUUUGUCCCUGUGAAGGGGAGGUAUCUGUUUUCCAAUUUGGAAGCAGAUGGUCCCGCAUGAAGAGAGGCCAAGACUUCAGAAUCUUCACACUCAUUUCUGUCCACCCGUUGUGUCACUAUCUGCCUUUUCAGCCCAAGGAGAGUAGCAGUGGCCAGAACCAUCACCAGGAGGAGAUAAUCCACAAGUUGGCCAUGUAGUUGAGAAAAAUCGGGGACAGCAUUGAUUGUGUUCAAGAGAUCCAAGAUUUACAUAUCCUCUGAUGUGCUUCUAUAAGAUUACAAUCUUUUAGAGGACAAAAACUUGUUUUUUUUC